Molecule: long non-coding RNA, 390 nt
Filed under: Linum usitatissimum (flax)
Lineage: Eukaryota; Viridiplantae; Streptophyta; Magnoliopsida; Malpighiales; Linaceae
Description: long non-coding RNA (LUSI_LNC004252)
Source: RNAcentral
UGAGGGUACGCCUAACCUAGUUGAUCAGUUUUGGUGUUCUAAGAUAAACAAGCUCUUUUGAGACGAUGAAACUUUACGAAAAUUCUAUUGAAGACGGCCAUGCAAGAGCAAGAACCCAGUUGAAAUCAAUAAUAAACUGACAUAAACUUGCAUAAAUCAAAAUAAUCAAAGUAUCAUUCGUUCAUCGAGAAUCACCUAGGAUUCAUCUAAUCUAAGCAAGAAGGAAUUUAGCUACUCAUAACCAUGAAGAAUAAAUCUAAAUCAGCAAAAGAAGCCAUUGAAAUUAGAUUUACAAGAAGAAAUCUCAAAAACCCAAUUUUGUCGAGUUCCAUUGAAGAAAACCUAUUCGCUGAUCUUGAUAACGUCGUGACCGAUCCAAACUUCUCAAAG